AUCGCCAAAGACGUUUGGCAUAAAUCUGCCCAUAAGGCCUCUCACCGGCUAUCCUUUCUCCCCACGUCCUUGUUCAGGUUAGACUCCAAUAACUCCCCUUUUCUUUCAUGACCUCCUAAGCUUACUGAAUCGGGGCUCUGCAACUAAAGGGCUUUUCCUAUAGAUGAGCCAGGUGGGCUGGAAUGGAUUACAGCCCCAGCUCCAGCCCCAGCCUCUGGAUCUCAAUGGACUGUCGCUGUCUGUGGUACAUGUAGGAACGGUGUAUUCAAGAAGAGACGAGCCCUUUACACUUAAUACCCAGUAGGCUCAGCUCCAGCACCCCCACAGCCAGGAAGGGAAUGGCAAGAAUUAGAUCCAAUUCUCCAGUCUUGUUGGCCAAGCCAAAGAAAUUCCUAGUAAAGCUGCGAGGAGACGCCCAGUCAACAAUAAAGCCCGAAGCCAGUAGUGCCCAAGCCUCACCCCACUUGUAAUCCAAGUCUGAGAAAUCAGACCCAGAUUUUGGUCAAGGGCGGAGUACAUCCCUCCUCAGACAGAAGGGGAAGUUUAGGAACAGAAGAGAUCAAACACGAUUAAUACACUUAUUCGACAGGC
Molecule: long non-coding RNA, 591 nt
Organism: Mastomys coucha (southern multimammate mouse)
Lineage: Eukaryota; Metazoa; Chordata; Mammalia; Rodentia; Muridae
Exons: 2
Source: RefSeq, a predicted model, not a curated record